GCAGCUACCAGACAGCAGAAUCACAGAAGAAAGAAUAGCUUAACUAGCGGACCAUUAAGAACAUUAAAAAGGAGAUAUGGUCAUUAACACCUGUGGGGUGAAGAAUUUAGAAGGAAUCGGGUAUAAGAAGCCAUUUCCUCACUGCUGCCAGAAUAGAAAUGCUGCUGCCACUGCCAGUUUUAAACUUUGGGUGGAUCGUGAAUCAAAGGGGGAGGGGAGUGUGUACAACUGCACCACUGCACCCCUCCCCUGGACCCACCCCUGAGCUGGUGCAAUGGAGGAGGGGGACUGGCAAAUUGAAGAGCCCUUGUCAAGCUGGUGUGUUUCUGAUGGGGUUCACAUAGGAAAACUGAGACACAGAGCAGAGAAGGAGUUACUGAAACAAGGAGACUACAAGAGACUGCAAACGGGGCCACAGAAAGGAGACAAGAUUUUGAGGCUGACUGUUCAAAAACCUGUGGUUCUGGACUGUGAACUCUGACAGCUAAUGAACAUUAGGAGAAAGGACUUCCAUGUUAAAGACUUGGCAUCCUCCCUCCAUCCUUCCAUUAACUUGGGACAGCUCACAAUGUAUGUCUCUGAGGACCUCCAACAAAACAAAAAAGGAUCAAACUCAA
This is a long non-coding RNA of Alligator mississippiensis (American alligator), 617 nucleotides long. RefSeq lists it as uncharacterized. Lineage: Eukaryota; Metazoa; Chordata; Crocodylia; Alligatoridae. The record is from RefSeq and is a predicted model, not a curated record. The transcript is spliced from 2 exons.